ACCGGCAGAUAGCUCUCUCUGCAACUAUCACAUGGUCGCCCACUUUAGCUAAGCAGGGCCCGGUCAGUACCUGGAUGGGAGACCACAUGGGAAAGCUAGGUUGCUGCCGGAA
RNAcentral lists this ribosomal RNA (112 nucleotides) under Danio rerio (zebrafish). Lineage: Eukaryota; Metazoa; Chordata; Actinopteri; Cypriniformes; Danionidae. The record is from RNAcentral.